GGGAGGGGGGUGUAUUUGGGUGGCACUUGCAUCUAAACACUUUUAGAGUUUCAGUAAGGUAGUCCUCAAACAGUAACAAGGGGAGCUUUCAAUGUAGGGGUGGGGGAGUUGGAGAGACAUGUGAAGAGCAAAGUGGGGGUUAAAAGGCUUGUAGAGCUGGGAGUUGAAAAGCUAUGCAGGGCCUGGGGAUUAAAUAGCUAAAGUGCAUGGAGUGUACAAUUCUACAAAACAUUAUCAGACUAGCUUGGACAAUUCCUUUAUAUUCAUAUACAUAUUUUAUACUUAUAGCAAAGUUACUUCAUGUGACAUCGGAAUGGUCUAAAGUGAUCACCAAGAGAUUAGUAAAAUAUAUUUGAAUAUACCAAAGUUCCCAAUAACACUUCAGAAAUUUCAAGUAUAUGUACAAAGAUAUUAAAAUGAAAGUUAAAUGCAAUAAAAAUUAUCAACUAUGAUCAUGCUUCCCCACCAAAAUUCAGUUCCUAUGUACAGUAUCUACCUUAUGGAAUAUAUAUUGUUAUUGGAUGUUCGUUUCUUCAGUUCUGAUGUAAUCGCUCUGGUUCUGAAAAUAAUUUCAAGCCAUUUCUCCCGAGUUUCCUUUUUUAUUGACGACUUAUAUUCACUUUCGUGCGCGCUCAUGACUGGUAUUCUAAACAAUGAAAUUUGGUGCUUUUGGCUUGUUGAACAACCAAAAAAGCACAAUUACGGCCAGGCAUAGCUUUAAUACUUCAUAGCUAGCUAACGAAAUUCCCAACAGAUGGCCAACAUAUAUUAUAUUGAUAUUAUUUCAAUGUAAAUUAGGUGGUUCGUGAUAUGUAUUAUUACGCCAUUUUUAAUAUGAUGCACACUAUUUGACACGUGACCCUUCCAAGCAUGGAUCAAAGACAUAUUCCGAAACUCCGCCCACUUUCCAAACCAUCCCCUUCUAUUAACUGUGGU
Molecule: non-coding RNA, 936 nt
Organism: Paramuricea clavata
Lineage: Eukaryota; Metazoa; Cnidaria; Anthozoa; Malacalcyonacea; Plexauridae
Source: the annotation of a GenBank genome assembly